UACGUAGGGGGCAAGCGUUGUCCGGAAUCAUUGGGCGUAAAGAGCGUGUAGGCGGCUCGGUAAGUCCGCUGUGAAAGUCCAGGGCUCAACCCUGGAAUGCCGGUGGAAACUGUCGAGCUAGAGUCCGGAAGAGGCGAGUGGAAUUCCUGGUGUAGCGGUGAAAUGCGCAGAUAUCGGGAAGAACACCCGUGGCGAAGGCGGUUCUCUGGGACGGUACUGACGCUGAGACGCGAAAGCGUGGGGAGCGAACAGG
Molecule: ribosomal RNA, 253 nt
Filed under: uncultured bacterium
Lineage: Bacteria
Description: partial 16S ribosomal RNA
Rfam family: Bacterial small subunit ribosomal RNA
Source: RNAcentral